GCUUCGGCGCACCCAGAAACCCUUUGUGAACUUAUACCUAUUGUUGCCUCGGCGCAGGCCGGCCUCUUCACUGAGGCCCCCUGGAAACAGGGAGCAGCCCGCCGGCGGCCAACCAAACUCUUGUUUCUAUAGUGAAUCUCUGAGUAAAAAAACAUAAAUGAAUCAAAACUUUCAACAACGGAUCUCUUGGUUCUGGCAUCGAUGAAGAACGCAGCGAAAUGCGAUAAGUAAUGUGAAUUGCAGAAUUCAGUGAAUCAUCGAAUCUUUGAACGCACAUUGCGCCCUCUGGUAUUCCGGAGGGCAUGCCUGUUCGAGCGUCAUUUCAACCCUCAAGCCUGGCUUGGUGAUGGGGCACUGCCUGUAAUAGGGCAGGCCCUGAAAUCUAGUGGCGAGCUCGCCAGGACCCCGAGCGUAGUAGUUAUAUCUCGCUCUGGAAGGCCCUGGCGGUGCCCUGCCGUUAAACCCCCAACUUCUGAAAAUUUGACCUCGGAUCAGGUAGGAAUACCCGCUGAACUUAAGCAUAUCA
Molecule: ribosomal RNA, 526 nt
Filed under: Phomopsis asparagi
Lineage: Eukaryota; Fungi; Ascomycota; Sordariomycetes; Diaporthales; Diaporthaceae
Description: eukaryotic LSU rRNA
Rfam family: 5.8S ribosomal RNA (bases 167-320)
Source: RNAcentral